CCGGCGACCGGCGCACGGGUGAGUAACACGUAUGCAACCUGGCCGUCACAGGUGGAUAACCGGAAGAAAUUCCGACUAAUACAGCAUAACACUCCUGAGGGGACAUCCCUUGGGAGUCAAAGGAGGCAACUCCGGUGACGGAUGGGCAUGCGGCGCAUUAGGUAGUUGGUAGGGUAACGGCCUACCAAGCCGACGAUGCGUAGGGGUUCUGAGAGGAAGGUCCCCCACAUUGGAACUGAGACACGGUCCAAACUCCUACGGGAGGCAGCAG
This 271-nucleotide ribosomal RNA is filed under the name uncultured bacterium. RNAcentral's name for it is "partial 16S ribosomal RNA". It matches the Rfam family "Bacterial small subunit ribosomal RNA", at positions 88 to 354 of the family's 1533-position model. The record is from RNAcentral.